This 505-nucleotide ribosomal RNA is filed under the name Astrochele lymani. RNAcentral's name for it is "partial 16S ribosomal RNA". It matches the Rfam family "Bacterial large subunit ribosomal RNA", at positions 1818 to 2597 of the family's 2925-position model. The record is from RNAcentral. Lineage: Eukaryota; Metazoa; Echinodermata; Ophiuroidea; Euryalida; Gorgonocephalidae.
CCCCUUUGGUUAAAUUUCAAAAGGUCCUGCCUGCCCGGUGAUUAAGUUAAAAUUAAACGGGUGCGGUACUCUGACCGUGCAAAGGUAGCAUAAUCAUUAGCCUGUUAAUUUCAGGCUGGAAUCAAUGGCAAGACGAAGAAAGGGCUGUCUCUUUCUAUUAUUUUAGAAUUUUUCUUUUUGGUGAAGAGACCAAAAUGAAUAAGUGGGACGAGAAGACCCUAUUGAGCUUUAGUUAGUUAAUAGAAAAAAUUUUUUUUAAUCAACUUUGGUUGGGGCAACUGUUUAUAAAAUUAAAUAUAAAUAAAAAUAAAAAUGAAUUAAAUCUUUAGUAUAAAAAACCCAGAAUUUUUUUUUCUGCAUUUAAAAAAAGUUACCUUAGGGAUAACAGCGUAAUUCUUUUUGAGAGUACAUAUUGACAAAAGAGUUUGCGACCUCGAUGUUGGAUCAAGAUUUCCUGGAGGUGUAGUGGUUUCCAAGGGUUGGUUUGUUCAACCAUAAAAAUCUU